AGCGAACAGGAUUAGAUACCCUGGUAGUCCAUGCCGUAAACGAUGAGUGCUAGGUGUUGGAGGGUUUCCGCCCUUCAGUGCCGGAGCUAACGCAUUAAGCACUCCGCCUGGGGAGUACGACCGCAAGGUUGAAACUCAAAGGAAUUGACGGGGGCCCGCACAAGCGGUGGAGCAUGUGGUUUAAUUCGAAGCUACGCGAAGAACCUUACCAGGUCUUGACAUCUUGCGCCAACCCUAGAGAUAGGGCGUUUCCUUCGGGAACGCAAUGACAGGUGGUGCAUGGUCGUCGUCAGCUCGUGUCGUGAGAUGUUGGGUUAAGUCCCGCAACGAGCGCAACCCUUGUUACUAGUUGCCAGCAUUAAGUUGGGCACUCUAGUGAGACUGCCGGUGACAAACCGGAGGAAGGUGGGGACGACGUCAGAUCAUCAUGCCCCUUAUGACCUGGGCUACACACGUGCUACAAUGGACGGUACAACGAGUCGCGAACUCGCGAGGGCAAGCAAAUCUCUUAAAACCGUUCUCAGUUCGGACUGCAGGCUGCAACUCGCCUGCACGAAGUCGGAAUCGCUAGUAAUCGCGGAUCAGCAUGCCGCGGUGAAUACGUUCCCGGGCCUUGUACACACCGCCCGUCACACCAUGAGAGUUUGUAACACCCAAAGUCGGUGGGGUAACCUUUUAGGAGCCAGCCGCCUAAGGUGGGACAGAUGAUUAGGGUGAAGUCGUAACAAGGUAGCCGUAGGAGAACCUGCGGCUGGAUCACCUCCUUUCUAAGGAA
RNAcentral lists this ribosomal RNA (775 nucleotides) under Limosilactobacillus fermentum. Its description in RNAcentral is "bacterial SSU rRNA". It matches the Rfam family "Bacterial small subunit ribosomal RNA", at positions 767 to 1533 of the family's 1533-position model. The record is from RNAcentral. Lineage: Bacteria; Bacillati; Bacillota; Bacilli; Lactobacillales; Lactobacillaceae.